CCGGGACCCCUAACCCCAUCCUCGUCUCGCCCCGGAGCGGGUUCGCCCUCCUCUAGGUCGGCUCGGCCUCAAAUGAGUACCCGGCGUAGCCGCGCGUGCGUGUGGUGUGGGGUGUUAACCGUCGGCGCUGGCCACCCACCCCCUCUGUGAGGUCGCUUCGAAGGCUCCGAGGGAGGCGCCAGGAGGAGAUCCUCCCGGCCGUGAGAUGUCGCUGGGAGACCCUGGCGGAGACGUGGAGGAGGUGGAGGAGGUGGAGGAGGUGAAGGAG
Petromyzon marinus (sea lamprey) is the source of this 268-nucleotide non-coding RNA. NCBI's taxonomy places the organism in Eukaryota, Metazoa, Chordata, Hyperoartia, Petromyzontiformes, Petromyzontidae. The record is from RefSeq and is a predicted model, not a curated record.